RNAcentral lists this ribosomal RNA (159 nucleotides) under Chaetomium sp. 'fuscum'. Its description in RNAcentral is "Chaetomium fuscum 5.8S ribosomal RNA". It matches the Rfam family "5.8S ribosomal RNA". Rfam says of the family: 5.8S ribosomal RNA (5.8S rRNA) is a component of the large subunit of the eukaryotic ribosome. The record is from RNAcentral. Lineage: Eukaryota; Fungi; Ascomycota; Sordariomycetes; Sordariales; Chaetomiaceae.
AAACUUUCAACAACGGAUCUCUUGGUUCUGGCAUCGAUGAAGAACGCAGCGAAAUGCGAUAAGUAUAUGUGAAUUGCAGAAUUCAGUGAAUCAUCGAAUCUUUGAACGCACAUUGCGCCCGCCAGUAUUCUGGCGGGCAUGCCUGUUCGAGCGUCAUUU